Molecule: ribosomal RNA, 253 nt
Filed under: uncultured bacterium
Lineage: Bacteria
Description: partial 16S ribosomal RNA
Rfam family: Bacterial small subunit ribosomal RNA
Source: RNAcentral
UACAGAGGUCCCAAGCGUUGUUCGGAUUCACUGGGCGUAAAGGGCUCGUAGGCGGUUUGUCGCGUCGGGAGUGAAAUCCACUGGCUUAACUGGUGGCUUGCUUUCGAUACGGGCAGACUGGAGGUAUGCAGGGGAGAACGGAAUUCCUGGUGUAGCGGUGAAAUGCGCAGAUAUCAGGAGGAACACCGGUGGCGAAGGCGGGUCUCUGGGCAACAACUGACGCUGAGGAGCGAAAGCGUGGGGAGCGAACAGG